Molecule: ribosomal RNA, 274 nt
Filed under: uncultured bacterium
Lineage: Bacteria
Description: partial 16S ribosomal RNA
Rfam family: Bacterial small subunit ribosomal RNA
Source: RNAcentral
AUACGGAGGAGACUAGCGUUGUUCGGAAUUACUGGGCGUAAAGAGUUCGUAGGCGGACUGAUAAGUAAGAGGUGAAAUCCCAGGGCUCAACCCUGGAACUGCCUUUUAAACUGUCAGUCUAGAGACCGGAAGAGGUUAGGGGAAUACCUAGUGUAGAGGUGAAAUUCGUAGAUAUUAGGUGGAACACCAGUGGCGAAGGCGCCUAACUGGUCCGGUACUGACGCUGAGGAACGAAAGCGUGGGGAGCAAACAGGAUUAGAUACCCUAGUAGUCC